CUGUACCUAGGGUUCGAAUCCCUAACUCUCCGCCAUUAAAAUUCAAAAUAGAAAUUCCUUUUUAAGGUCGGACCGCGGCGCCUUGGUCUUGCGCAAUGGAAACUUGCGAAUCCCGUCAGGUCCGGAAGGAAGCAGCGGUAAGUGAUCAUUUUCAUGUGCCGUGAGGUUGCCUGGGGGCUGCGGCCCGACGUUGAAAAGGAAUUGUAUAG
Molecule: signal recognition particle RNA, 209 nt
Filed under: Propionispira arboris
Lineage: Bacteria; Bacillati; Bacillota; Negativicutes; Selenomonadales; Selenomonadaceae
Description: Bacterial large signal recognition particle RNA
Rfam family: Bacterial large signal recognition particle RNA
About the family: The signal recognition particle (SRP) is a universally conserved ribonucleoprotein involved in the co-translational targeting of proteins to membranes.
Source: Rfam by way of RNAcentral